UUUUUAAAUGGGAUCUUGUAUGAAUGGCUGAACAAAGGAGAAGCUGUUUUAAAUUUAAAUUUUGAAUUUUACUUUUAAGUGAGAAGGCUUAAAUAUUUUAAAGGGACGAUAAGACCCUAUAAAGCUUAACAUAGGACUUAUAUUUAAUUGAAUUUGAAUUAUAUUUUAAAGGUUUAAUAUAAAUUUUGUUUUGUUGGGGAGACAGAGGUAGAAAUAUUGUAGCUGCUUAAAUAAUAAACAUUUAUUUAUGGGGAGUAAUAGAUCCUUAUUAAAGAUUAAAAGAUUAAGUUACUUUAGGGAUAACAGUAUAAUUUUUUUAAAGAGUUCAUAUCGAAAAAAGAGUUUGUAACCUCGAUGUUGAAUUAAAAUAUCUAUAUAAUGUAGCUGUUAUAUAAGAA
Molecule: ribosomal RNA, 398 nt
Filed under: Rouxana sp. 2 SAD-2004
Lineage: Eukaryota; Metazoa; Arthropoda; Malacostraca; Decapoda; Gecarcinucidae
Description: partial 16S ribosomal RNA
Source: RNAcentral